This 471-nucleotide ribosomal RNA is filed under the name uncultured organism. RNAcentral describes it as "partial 16S ribosomal RNA". It matches the Rfam family "Bacterial small subunit ribosomal RNA", at positions 334 to 797 of the family's 1533-position model. The record is from RNAcentral.
CACUCCUGCGGGAGGCAGCAGUGGGGAAUUUUGGACAAUGGGCGCAAGCCUGAUCCAGCCAUGCCGCGUGCGGGAAGAAGGCCUUCGGGUUGUAAACCGCUUUUGUCAGGGAAGAAAAGGUUCUGGCUAAUACCUGGGACUCAUGACGGUACCUGAAGAAUAAGCACCGGCUAACUACGUGCCAGCAGCCGCGGUAAUACGUAGGGUGCAAGCGUUAAUCGGAAUUACUGGGCGUAAAGCGUGCGCAGGCGGUUAUGCAAGACAGAGGUGAAAUCCCCGGGCUCAACCUGGGAACUGCCUUUGUGACUGCAUGGCUAGAGUACGGUAGAGGGGGAUGGAAUUCCGCGUGUAGCAGUGAAAUGCGUAGAUAUGCGGAGGAACACCGAUGGCGAAGGCAAUCCCCUGGACCUGUACUGACGCUCAUGCACGAAAGCGUGGGGAGCAAACAGGAUUAGAAACCCGAGUAGUCCC